RNAcentral lists this ribosomal RNA (450 nucleotides) under uncultured bacterium. Its description in RNAcentral is "partial 16S ribosomal RNA". It matches the Rfam family "Bacterial small subunit ribosomal RNA", at positions 354 to 796 of the family's 1533-position model. The record is from RNAcentral.
GUGGGGAAUAUUGGACAAUGGGCGAAAGCCUGAUCCAGCCAUGCCGCGUGUGUGAAGAAGGUCUUCGGAUUGUAAAGCACUUUAAGUUGGGAGGAAGGGCAGUAAGUUAAUACCUUGCUGUUUUGACGUUACCGACAGAAUAAGCACCGGCUAACUUCGUGCCAGCAGCCGCGGUAAUACGAAGGGUGCAAGCGUUAAUCGGAAUUACUGGGCGUAAAGCGCGCGUAGGUGGUUUUGUAAGUUGGAGGUGAAAUCCCCGGGCUCAACCUGGGAACUGCCUCCAAAACUGCAUGACUAGAGUACGGUAGAGGGUAGUGGAAUUUCCUGUGUAGCGGUGAAAUGCGUAGAUAUAGGAAGGAACACCAGUGGCGAAGGCGACUACCUGGACUGAUACUGACACUGGGGUGCGAAAGCGUGGGGAGCAAACAGGAUUAGAAACCCUUGUAGUCC